CCUACGGGUGGCAGCAGUGAGGAAUAUUGGUCAAUGGACGAGAGUCUGAACCAGCCAAGUAGCGUGAAGGAUGAAUGCCCUAUGGGUUGUAAACUUCUUUUAUAUGGGAAUAAAAUGUUCCACGUGUGGGAUUUUGUAUGUACCAUAUGAAUAAGGAUCGGCUAACUCCGUGCCAGCAGCCGUGGUAAUACGGAGGAUCCGAGCGUUAUCCGGAUUUAUUGGGUUUAACGGGAGCGUAGGUGGAUUGUUAAGUCAGUUGUGAAAGUUUGCGGCUCAACCGUAAAAUUGCAGUUGAAACUGGCAGUCUUGAGUACAGUAGAGGUGGGCGGAAUUCGUGGUGUAGCGGUGAAAUGCUUAGAUAUCACGAAGAACUCCGAUUGCGAAGGCAGUUCACUGGACUGCAACUGACACUGAGGCUCGAAAGUGUGGGUAUCAAACAGGAUUAGAUACCCCAGUAGUC
This 460-nucleotide ribosomal RNA is filed under the name uncultured bacterium. RNAcentral's name for it is "partial 16S ribosomal RNA". It matches the Rfam family "Bacterial small subunit ribosomal RNA", at positions 338 to 795 of the family's 1533-position model. The record is from RNAcentral.